Molecule: long non-coding RNA, 1239 nt
Filed under: Canis lupus familiaris (dog)
Lineage: Eukaryota; Metazoa; Chordata; Mammalia; Carnivora; Canidae
Description: lncRNA (ENSCAFG00845004707.1)
Source: RNAcentral
AUGCACCCUCUUCGUGGAUGUGACGGCUUUCUCCUCUGUCCCAGGGCUGCACCUCCACCCCCGCAGCAGGCAAACACCUUGACCGAGGCCCUGCUCUCGGCCCGGGAUGCCCGGCACUGCUGGAGAGGCAGCGUGCUCCCAGUGAGCUCUGGGCAUGCACGGCUCUACUGCGUCCGUCUGUCCCUGCUAAGCUGUCAGGCCGGGUCCCCGGCCAGCUCCUGCUCAGGGCUCGCAUGGUGGCGCUGGCCCAGCAGGCCACCAGAUGGACCCCGCUCUCCGACCCUGAGAGGACCUCACUGUAGUCCUGCUGACCCCUGUGCAGACAGGAUGCGGGAUGGGGGUAGGCAAGUAACUACCAGUCCGCUUCAGAAAACAAAGUCUAUGGGGAGCAGAGAAAGCGAAGGGACCUCACUCAGGAAGACCCCAUGCUCCUUGACCUCAGGGCCAGGCCUGAGGCGUGAUAACAAACAUGGAACAAAACGAAGGCUGAGGAGGCAGCCAGUCGGGGCCUGGCCUCCAGGUGAAGACAAGCCCCUCACACAGGCCUCGGCCCCACUGCCUGCCACUUGGGACAGGCGUUCGGCCCGCCUGGAGGACACCAUCCCCGGCUAUGCUCAUGUACGCACAUCUAAGAUAACCUUUGUCAAGCUCCACAUGACUUCCAGGUCACGCUGCAGCCUCUCGGCGCGUCCCCUGCACAUGGUUUCCCUCGUGGUUAGCCCCAUGUCCUCAUGGCCUGCUUGGCCUCCCCCUCUCGCCAGCCGCCGCGCACACCGCCUCUGCCUCUGCCUGCAGUGCAGGGAGCUGCCCUCUCCACUCCCCCAGGAUACCCCAGGGCUCUGCAGCCACGUCAAGUCGGUCAGGUCGGGGGCGGGGGCAGGUGUGGUGCUGGGACCUCUCACCGACAGCCCCCCCCCCACCCCCGCCGUGUGGUGUGCCCAUCCUUACUCCCACCGCCCUGCAGGGGUUAUGGCCUGGGCCUGGCCCUCUAGCACCCCACCCCCACCUUUCCCCAGCUCCUCAGGAUGCGGAGAUUCUGAUGCACCCUGUUUGAGCAACCUCGUCUCCAGGCCGGCCGCUCUGCACGGCCACCAAAGAACGAAUUCUCCAUUACCUGCCCUGAGCCCACUUCUUUAUCAAUGCUACGACAGCAUGGCCAAGCAGGGGCACCUUCCCUGCACCACGGGGCUGUGGUGGUCCUGUCCCAGCAGAGCACAGUGCUGUUCGCUGCAGAUCUGA